RNAcentral lists this long non-coding RNA (5438 nucleotides) under Medicago truncatula (barrel medic). Its description in RNAcentral is "long non-coding RNA (MTRU_LNC005809)". Lineage: Eukaryota; Viridiplantae; Streptophyta; Magnoliopsida; Fabales; Fabaceae. The record is from RNAcentral.
CACUAUUGAGAGAAAAGAGGCAAAGUUGGGAGAUGAGAGAAAAUAGAAAGUAAGAAGAAGAAAGAAGAAUAUUCAAGAGAAAGAGAGAUGGAAAAGCUUAAGAGUGAGAUUAGAGUGAAGAUUUAAGUUGCUUUUGAAGGGUUAAGGUAAGAGGAAAGUUUAUAUUCACCGUUUAGAGAUUAUGAGUGAUAGAGUGUUUAUGAGUCAUGUUUGUUUAUAUGAUUCUCAUGAAUUUAGUGUUUUGUUAAGUUGAUUUUCAUGCUAUUUAAUUAUGCUAAUUAUGAGUAUGAUGAACUUUAUGAAAUUAUGUUAUUUAUAUGCUUAAACUUAUGCUUGAUGGUAUAAAAUAAGUUGUUCUUGAGAUUUCAGCUUAAAUGUGUGAAAAUCAAGAUGUUGUUGAUGAUUCUUUCUCAAAUUAUGUUCUAAUUGCUAGCUAUGUUGAUGGAAUGAUCAUGUUAAAUUUGAUGUUUGAAUUAAGUUGUGGUUUGUUGGUGAAUUUUGUGAGAAAUGAGUGACAAACCAUGAAAUGAUGUUUUGACGAAUUGAGUUUUGGGAUUAUGAGUUUUGGGUGUGGAAUUGAAUUUGGGGAAAAACGGGUUUUUAAGCUAAAAGUCAAUAUUUAGUGAUUCUAUGAAAUAAGCUAUUUUUGGGCUAAGUUAAUGGAAAUGUUUUGAUUAAGAAAUGAGGCUGAAUAGUAGGGGUUAAAUAGGCUAAGUGAUUGGGAUUGUUUCUGGUGCGAUCAGGAUCGAAAACAGUUUUGAAAACAGACUCUCGUGUGCAAAAACAUAAAAAUUCAAGAACCCUGUCUUGUCAAGGCAGCACGACCAUGCGGCCUAGGAGCACGUAUUGUGUGUAUUGUUCGCACUUGGUCAGUACAACCGUACGGCCAAUUUGCACGACCGUGCGCCCUGUACUAUGUCGGGAAACCUCAUUUUUUUUUUGUCGUUUUUAAAUUUUAAGCAUAUCAUUUGGUCCCAAACACCUAAUCUUAGUUAAUUGAUGUAUAAUUGAGUACUUAAACUUAAUUUAACUUGAUUUGGAUUGGAAUUGAAUUGUAUGGUGCAGACUUUUGAAAAUAGACGAACUUUGACAUUUUAAGAAAUAGAUAAACUUUGAAACUUAAUGAAUCACACUAAGAUAACUUGAGGAUGAUUAUGUGCUAUUGUUGUGAAGAUGAAUGGGGAUUGGUUUGAUUAUGAUAUGUAUUCUUGAAAUGUGGAUUAACUAGAAUGAAUUCUUAAUCGUCUUUAAAUGCCAAUUAUGCUAAAUGAAUGUUUGUUGUUUCUUGAGAUGAUAAAUGUUUGAUGACGAUUGCGGUGAAAUUAUUUAUUGAUGAUAAUUAACUCAUGAUGGUGUGAAUGUGUAUAUAUGUAUAAAUGAGGAUGAAUACAUGUAUAUAAAGUGGUGAAGUUAUGAUGGUGAUGUUUUGUAUGAACAUAUGUAUUUGGUGAGUUAUAUGUUCAUGCAUUCAUGGAUCUUGGAGUACGAUAUUUCAAUAUCCAAGUGGAGAUUAGGAUAAUUGUAUCCAAGUGGUGAUUUAGGAUAUUUCAAUAUCCAAGUGGAGAUAGGAUUAAUCGGUAAAAUAAUUCCGACAUCCAAAAACGGUACCGUAUGAAUAUAGAAUUGUGUCUAGAGCAUUGCAUGCAUAUGAAUCUAUGUGAAAUGAUUUAUACUUGUUGAAUCUAUGUGAAUUUUCUUCUACAUCAACAUGUAUAUUGUAUAGUUCAUUCCCAUCAAAGUAUUAUUUGUAGUUUUAUUAUUGUUUUGAUUUGGCUAUUAUGUUCAAUUUCUUUUUUCCCAGUCCAACGAAAUUACUUUGAUUUUGUCCUGAUGAAGAAUUAGAAUUAUGAAGAUGAACAAAAACACACCAACCAAGAAACGUGAAUUGAGAGAGAAGAUGACAGCAACAAAAACAAUUAAGGAAAAGAACCAGCGGGCCCCAAUAAGAAGCUGAGAAAGUAGAAAAUUUAAAAAUAAAAAUAAUCAUUUAAAGGUCAAUUACGUCAUUGUCCCUUACUAUUGUCUUUUCCAAAAAAUAAAAAAUAGGUUUUUUAGUCUAAAACAAAAGGUGCACCUACCUUGCUAAAAUAGACCUUCAUGAAAAUAAGUUGGUCUAUUGUAGCAAACCCCAUAUAUAUAUAGGAUUCCGACGAAGAUGAAGAAGUAGGUACAGAUAGGUGGCGAAUGGGUACAGAUGCUGGAAAAAUGAUGAACAGUCAAAACAACAGGUUGAUUCGAUGAUUCAUUCAUUCAAGAGUCAUGUUAAUUGUUGAUUCAAAGAAAGAAAGAAAAAAAGAAAAAAAAAGAGGCAUGUUAAUUGCUGGAUAUGCCAUGGCUGAUGAAUAUUAGGCGAGGAAGAAAGAGGAAGAAAGAUUUCAACGAAAUCAUAGAGUAGAGAGAGGCAUGUGUUGUUAAAUGAGGCUUUUUAAUCUCAGUCAAUUAAUUUUAAUCUAAAGGCUCACAAUCAUUCCUACCAUUCUCGUAUAUAAAUGUCAUUCUCAUGUGAUAUGCCCCCUAUAUAUAUAUAUAUAUAUAUAUAUAUAUAUAUAUAGAGAGAGAGAGAGAGAGAGAAUGAAUUUUUGAAUGAGUAUAGAAAUAUUUUGUGUCCAAAUAUAAUUGUUGGACAAAAGAAAAAUCAAUAUUUAGUCGAAAGUAGACGUUGGUCUGCCCUUAUCUCCCAUGAUAAUUAGUUGGGAAGCGAUUCCAUGUGGUGACUUUACCUCCUCUGAUGAUUUAAACCAUUAAAUGCAUUCUCUCCCUCUCAACAUUAAAUGCUUUUUUCUCUUUUAUCUUGAAGAUUUCACUAGAUCUCUCCAUUAUCCGAAGAGGAUAUGUUCCGUGAUUAACUACCUCUCCCGAUGCUUUUUCCUCUUUUAUUUUGAAGAUUUCACUAGAUCUCUCCAUUAUCCAAAGAGGAUAUGUUCUAUGAUUAACUGCCUCUCCCCAAAUUCUCAUUUGUGAAACCUUGUUAAUUGGUACUAGUAAGGUGUGGUGGGAUUACAUAAGAGAUCCUAGGCAUUGAUGGAAAUUGUUGGAAAAAUAUAUAGUGUGUGAGCUAAUGGUAGAGUAGUUAGAGACAUUGGACAAGAGGACACACAUUAGUAGUUACUACAUUGUAUGAGAAGAGAACAUGAUUUGGUGAAGCCUUUUUAAUAUUAUUGACAUUGCAUCUUAAACGUUUGAAUACAAUUGCACCCAUAUACCUAUACUUAUAGGUGCUUGAAGGUGUUUCUAGAACUAGAUUCUAGGCCUUUGUUUGCCAUUUCUACAUUAGAUUAUUAUAGAUGUUUCUAAGCUAUAACUUAAUUUAUACAUUAAUAAAAUAAUCUAGAAACAUGUAGCAACUUUGAGUUAUUCUAGUUUUCUCUAAUAGACGUCGUUAUAUUAACUAGAAAAUUCUAGAAAUAUGUAUCAAUUUCAACACUCCUCCUUGAUGCAUAUUUCAGAAACUCCAAAUGUAAUGCGUAGUUGCUCAAACAUAGAUUUGUGAUAUCAUCUUUUCCUACAUUGAUACUCUUCAUAGUUGAUUAAUUUGACAAGUCUUACCUCCACCAUGAUAGUACAUUUGUGUUACCUCUUGCUAUAAAUAGGUUUGUGACAUCAAUUGGACUUGAACUUAAUAGGAUCGAGCUGUUAGGCUACCUGAACUCUUCUAUUUCCUUCUUAGUUUUGGGUUUGAACUCAAAUAGAGUAUGGCCUAGUGGCUACCUAUACUCCUUUUGUUUUUGAGUCAUAGACUCGGAUUUUCUAGUUUAGUAGGAUAUCAUUCACAUUGUAGAAUAUAUAUAUAUAUAUAUAUAUAUAUAUAUAUAUAUAUAGUUGGUGACACGAGAUCAUAUUUUGUUUGACAAAAAAUUAUAUUUAAUUUUCCAAAUAAGAGAAAAUAAUUCAAUAAAAGUCACACAAGAUAAAGAAAAUGAUCAAAUUGAUCUUCUUUAUUUUAAGCAAGAGCAUUACAUGGGAUACAAAAUGCAGUUGAAUCCUUUAUUCUAGUACAAAAUCACAUGCACCCACACAACUAACAAGCUAGACUCUCAAUACCUUUGACAGGAAAACAAACAAACAAGAAACACUUAAUUUUGCAGCAAUAUUCACUUGAAAAUUAUUCCAUAGCAACCAUACGGGAAGGGGGUGGAGUAGAAGCAGUAAAUGGCUGUCCCCUUUUUUCCAUCGAUUUCAUUUUCAAACGCAGCUCCUUCUCCUUGUAUAGAAUAUCAGCCAACCUUCAUAUAUCAUAAUCAUAACGUAAUUAGCAUUUCAUAUUUACUUAGGAGAUGGCCAACCCUAGAAUAAUUCUAUGUUAAACAUGAACUAGAUUUUUGACCCGUGUUCCGCUCGGGUUUAUCGUAAAGGGUAUUCUGUUUGUAAACGUAUUAAAUAAGUGUAGAAUAUAUUGUCAAAAAAAAAAAAAACAGUAACAGGAUAGGAAUGAAAUAAAGGCAAGAGGAUAGGAAUGAAAUUGGUGCAAUGAAUUAUUUUAGAUACAAUUUGUUAGGUUAAAUAAUUGCAAACCUAAUAAAGCAAAAAUUAAUAAAUAAAGAUAACUAUAUCAUAAAAAUGUUAAAAAAUGAACAAACCUUGUAAGAGCCUCAUCGUUUGUACCCUCACUUGGUUUUACAUAUGGGACAAACGAAGUAACAUUUUGUAUCUUAACAGGUUGUUUCAACAAGUCUUCUCCUGCCUUUACAAGUUUUUGCAUGCCUUCUUCGGUAACAUUGACAAUAGAUGGAUUCAAGUUAUACUCCUGCACAGCACAUAUACCCGGACGUUACAUGUUUCAUUCAAUGAAAAAUUAAAAAAUUACAAUACUAAUCUUUUUUUUAAAGUAAAUUUUUUUAAAUAAAUAAAAACCCUAUAUGCAACCAUUUAUUAUGUACCUCAACUCGAAGGUAGUAAUUUUCCGAAGAAGGUGAGUCUGGGAAGACUGAUGCAAGGUGAUAUUCAUGUAUGUCUGCAGCAGCACUAGCAUAACCCAAAGCAAGAAUGGACGUCCAAUUAUUAUACGAGAAGGUUUUUGCAAGUAAAGAACCAGGCCCUAGAAUCGUGUUUCUUCCACAUCCUAAUGACAACAACACGAUUUUGGUAGGUUCGUUUGGAUUCACAGGAAUGAAAUUAGGAUUCUUCUCAUUCAAUUGUUGCAUCACUUCACUUACUGCAACCAAUGCCUGAAUUACAUGCAUACAAUUUUUAUAGAACAUUAAUGUGCAACCAUAUCAUAUGUAACAUAUGACUAAUGAUAUAUAUAUUAAAUACACUUACCGGGCUGCCUGCAGCUAUACCUCCAUCAACUAAAUUGAAUGGCCUUCUACGAUUCCAAAAGAAAUAGGGUGGUAGAAGAGUUGGUGCAGCUGAAGUCCCAAUGGCUAUAUCCGACAAUUUUGCAUCUAGGCUAGGAAUUUCCUCCAACUGCAUGAGCAACGAACGUUUCACAAACUAAG